Molecule: transfer RNA, 77 nt
Filed under: Acidobacteriota bacterium
Lineage: Bacteria; Pseudomonadati; Acidobacteriota
Description: Acidobacteria bacterium tRNA-Arg
Rfam family: tRNA
About the family: Transfer RNA (tRNA) molecules are approximately 80 nucleotides in length. Their secondary structure includes four short double-helical elements and three loops (D, anti-codon, and T loops).
Source: RNAcentral
GGGAGCGUAGCUCAGUUGGAUAGAGCAUCUGCCUUCUAAGCAGAGGGUCCCAGGUUCGAAUCCUGGCGCUCCUACCA